This 485-nucleotide ribosomal RNA is filed under the name uncultured bacterium. Its description in RNAcentral is "partial 16S ribosomal RNA". It matches the Rfam family "Bacterial small subunit ribosomal RNA", at positions 28 to 523 of the family's 1533-position model. The record is from RNAcentral.
GACGAACGCUGGCGGCGUGCUUAACACAUGCAAGUCGAACGAUGAAAGCCGGAGCUUGCUCUGGCUGGAUUAGUGGCGAACGGGUGAGUAACACGUUAGCAAUCUGCCCUUGACUCUGGGAUAACUCCGAGAAAUCGGUGCUAAUACCGGAUAUGACUCCUGGCGGCAUCGCUGGGGGUGGAAAGUUUUUCGGUCAAGGAUGAGCUCGCGGCCUAUCAGCUAGUUGGUGAGGUAAGGGCUCACCAAGGCGACGACGGGUAGCCGGCCUGAGAGGGUGACCGGCCACACUGGGACUGAGACACGGCCCAGACUCCUACGGGAGGCAGCAGUGGGGAAUAUUGCACAAUGGGCGCAAGCCUGAUGCAGCAACGCCGCGUGGGGGAUGACGGCCUUCGGGUUGUAAACCUCUUUUAGCAGGGAAGAAGCGAAAGUGACGGUACCUGCAGAAAAAGCACCGGCUAACUACGUGCCAGCCGCCGCGGUAA